RNAcentral lists this ribosomal RNA (947 nucleotides) under uncultured bacterium. RNAcentral's name for it is "bacterial SSU rRNA". It matches the Rfam family "Bacterial small subunit ribosomal RNA", at positions 523 to 1482 of the family's 1533-position model. The record is from RNAcentral.
AUACGGAGGAUCCGAGCGUUAUCCGGAUUUAUUGGGUUUAAAGGGAGCGUAGGUGGACUGGUAAGUCAGUUGUGAAAGUUUGCGGCUCAACCGUAAAAUUGCAGUUGAUACUGUCAGUCUUGAGUACAGUAGAGGUGGGCGGAAUUCGUGGUGUAGCGGUGAAAUGCUUAGAUAUCACGAAGAACUCCGAUUGCGAAGGCAGCUCACUGGACUGCAACUGACACUGAUGCUCGAAAGUGUGGGUAUCAAACAGGAUUAGAUACCCUGGUAGUCCACACAGUAAACGAUGAAUACUCGCUGUUUGCGAUAUACAGUAAGCGGCCAAGCGAAAGCAUUAAGUAUUCCACCUGGGGAGUACGCCGGCAACGGUGAAACUCAAAGGAAUUGACGGGGGCCCGCACAAGCGGAGGAACAUGUGGUUUAAUUCGAUGAUACGCGAGGAACCUUACCCGGGCUUAAAUUGCAGUGGAAUGAUGUGGAAACAUGUCAGUGAGCAAUCACCGCUGUGAAGGUGCUGCAUGGUUGUCGUCAGCUCGUGCCGUGAGGUGUCGGCUUAAGUGCCAUAACGAGCGCAACCCUUAUCUUUAGUUACUAACAGGUUAUGCUGAGGACUCUAGAGAGACUGCCGUCGUAAGAUGUGAGGAAGGUGGGGAUGACGUCAAAUCAGCACGGCCCUUACGUCCGGGGCUACACACGUGUUACAAUGGGGGGUACAGAAGGCAGCUAGCGGGUGACCGUAUGCUAAUCCCAAAAGCCUCUCUCAGUUCGGAUCGAAGUCUGCAACCCGACUUCGUGAAGCUGGAUUCGCUAGUAAUCGCGCAUCAGCCACGGCGCGGUGAAUACGUUCCCGGGCCUUGUACACACCGCCCGUCAAGCCAUGGGAGCCGGGGGUACCUGAAGUACGUAACCGCAAGGAUCGUCCUAGGGUAAAACUGGUGACUGGGGCU